This 507-nucleotide long non-coding RNA is filed under the name Homo sapiens (human). RNAcentral describes it as "HSALNT0230142". The record is from RNAcentral. Lineage: Eukaryota; Metazoa; Chordata; Mammalia; Primates; Hominidae.
CUCUGUUAGCUGGAUAUUCUAACUUUAUCAACAUACAUACUGAGCAAAUUGACACUUUCACCCACACUCAAAACCUGCUGUAGAGCCCGCAUUUUAACCUGGGCUUCUAGACCUUCAUGCAUUGCCGAACUAAUUUCUGAAUACAAAAGAAAGAAAUAUGAAGAGCUUUCUAUAAAUAGCAAUCCAGAACUGUCAAAACCUAAGGGUAAUGUGUGAGAAAAACUGUGGUCUUCUUAUCUGCUCCUUGUGGAAAUACUUAGUUUGUACUGAAAUCCCUGAUAAGUUCUUCUGGAUGCAUUCUGAAACAAAAGUCUGGCAGCAGUAACUGGAACCAGAUUGUCCAAAGCACAUACAUCCCAACUCCCUCCAACAUGGAAUCAUAACACAGCCACAUUUCGAGAGUUUCAAGUUUCAAUUGGAAGUAGUCUACAGACGAGCAGUUUGGAGAAGCUGACAUCUUUUAUAUAAUGUUAUGGAGAAAAAUAUAAGUGUGUUCUCAGAAACAAC